UGGGGAAUAUUGCACAAUGGGGGAAACCCUGAUGCAGCAACGCCGCGUGAGCGAAGAAGUAUUUCGGUAUGUAAAGCUCUAUCAGCAGGGAAGAAAGUGACGGUACCUGAGUAAGAAGCCCCGGCUAACUACGUGCCAGCAGCCGCGGUAAUACGUAGGGGGCAAGCGUUAUCCGGAUUUACUGGGUGUAAAGGGAGCGUAGACGGCGGCGCAAGUCUGAUGUGAAAGCCUGGGGCUCAACCUCGGAACUGCAUUGGAAACUGUGCUGCUAGAGUGCCGGAGAGGUAAGCGGAAUUCCUAGUGUAGCGGUGAAAUGCGUAGAUAUUAGGAGGAACACCAGUGGCGAAGGCGGCUUACUGGACGGUAACUGACGUUGAGGCUCGAAAGCGUGGGGAGCAAACA
Molecule: ribosomal RNA, 402 nt
Filed under: uncultured bacterium
Lineage: Bacteria
Description: bacterial SSU rRNA
Rfam family: Bacterial small subunit ribosomal RNA
Source: RNAcentral